AAGUUUACGUUAAAAUAAACCCAGGACCUUCAAAGUCCUAAAUAAGAAGACUAUGCCCCUUAACUUCUG
RNAcentral lists this transfer RNA (69 nucleotides) under Pachydactylus affinis. RNAcentral's name for it is "tRNA-Trp". Lineage: Eukaryota; Metazoa; Chordata; Lepidosauria; Squamata; Gekkonidae. The record is from RNAcentral.